This 460-nucleotide ribosomal RNA is filed under the name uncultured bacterium. RNAcentral's name for it is "partial 16S ribosomal RNA". It matches the Rfam family "Bacterial small subunit ribosomal RNA", at positions 338 to 795 of the family's 1533-position model. The record is from RNAcentral.
CCUACGGGUGGCAGCAGUGAGGAAUAUUGGUCAAUGGGCGAGAGCCUGAACCAGCCAAGUCGCGUGAAUGAUGACGGCCCUACGUGUUGUAAACUUCUUUUGUCAGGGAGCAAUUGAGUCCACGUGUGUUCUUAGCGAGAGUACCGGAAGAAAAAGCAUCGGCUAACUCCGUGCCAGCAGCCGCGGUAAUACGGGGGAUGCGAGCGUUAUCCGGAUUACUUGGGUUUAAAGGGUGCGUAGGCGGAAUAUCAAGUCAGCGGUAAAACUUCGGGGCUCACCUCGGUUGUGCCGUUGAAACUGAUGUUCUGGAGUGGGCGAGAAGUAUGCGGAAUGCGUGGUGUAGCGGUGAAAUGCAUAGAUAUCACGCAGAACUCCGAUUGCGAAGGCAGCAUACCGGCGCCCAACUGACGCUGAAGCACGAAAGCGUGGGUAUCGAACAGGAUUAGAUACCCCAGUAGUC